Molecule: ribosomal RNA, 239 nt
Filed under: uncultured bacterium
Lineage: Bacteria
Description: partial small subunit ribosomal RNA
Rfam family: Bacterial small subunit ribosomal RNA
Source: RNAcentral
AGAAUCAACGCUGGCGGCGUGCCUAACACAUGCAAGUCGAACGAGAAAGUGGAGCAAUCCAUGAGUAAAGUGGCGCACGGGUGAGUAACACGUGACUAACCUACCCUUGAGUGGGGGAUAACCUAGAGAAAUCUGGGCUAAUACCGCAUAAUACCUUCGGGUCAAAGGAGCAAUUCGCUUAAGGAGGGGUCGCGGCCGAUUAGUUAGUUGGCGGGGUAAUGGCCCACCAAGACUGUGAU